This is a long non-coding RNA of Gavialis gangeticus (Gharial), 1956 nucleotides long. RefSeq lists it as uncharacterized. Lineage: Eukaryota; Metazoa; Chordata; Crocodylia; Gavialidae. The transcript is spliced from 3 exons. The record is from RefSeq and is a predicted model, not a curated record.
UUUAAAUCAUAUUAACAAAGGGAGUAGGAGAGAAUGGAAUAUUCCAUUGAACAUCCCAAUGUGAUGCAUAAGAAUAACACUUUUUUUUUUUCUCUUCUAGCCUGUGUGUGGAUUUUAAUUAUGCUGCAGAGACUGUCAAUCAUUGCUCUUCAAACAUUUGGGGAGUAGCAUGAGACAUCACAACACUAGAAGUGACACUGUUCUUGAUGUACAACAUGUGACCACAAAGUGCCGGAGGCACCAGAGCCUUGAACAUAUGGCACAGACCCACACAAUUGUGGAAGUGCUAUAGUCCAGGAUGUGCGGCACAUACAUUCAUGGUUGUAGAGAUGCCAUGAUCCUGAGUGUGUAGCAUAUGCACACAAUUCCAGACAUGCCAGUAUUCAUAUGUCCACCAAACACAAAUGUGUACUAAAACCCGAACAGGAGCUGUGCCCAUUCAUCAUGCAAAUAACAUUUGUGGUUUUCACUGCUCAGGAGAUUCAUUUAAGAUCCCACAGAUGAAUAUUUUCUAUUUCCCCCCCCCCCCCCCCCCAGUAUUUUAAUUCCUGCCAAAUUACCCAGUCACUGUAGAACUUAGUUGUAAGAUGAUCCAAAAAAGAAAAAAAUCAUGAACAAGCUUGCCAGGCCUGUCUUUAACCAGUUUCUAUGUUAUUUAUAUAUGUGAGUACAAUCAGCAUUUAUUUCCGAAGGCCUUCUUGGACUGUUUACCCGAGAGUGUUCCCACUAGUUCUUUUCUUCUGCCCUUCACAGGUGAAAGAUGUUGGUGCAGCUGUUCUCACCACACUAAAGUGCUAGUGUGACUUCCAUAGUGACUCUGUGACUUCACUCCAGGGCUGGCUAAGAAAGCUUUUACUUAUUUUUCUGUAUCAAAUGUUGCACUUCUACAGGAUUUUCUUGAAAAAUGAAAAAGAAGUGCAGAUUGAGAGCCUGGGGUCACAAAAAAGGGACGAAAAAACACUGAGACAAUCUUCCAGCAAGGUCACCAUAAAAGGCAAGACCUUGGCUCUAAGUUUUCCCACUGAAGCUGUAACUUCACUCCCAGAGAAUAAUGUUGCUAAUCCUGCAUGCACAAAAACGCUGCUUUUGGAUUUUUAAAAAAAUCUUAAUGUCUAAAAAGUGAAAAUGGUGUAGCUGUUUGGCAGAGCAGUCAGGGAGACUAAAUGGAGCAUAUGGGAACAUUCAACUUUUCAAGUGAGGAGGAGGGAGGAGGAGGGAAGCAGGUUGGACCCGUAAGUCUGUAAAAACAGCCUGCUGCAAAGGGAAAGCAAAGGUCUGGAACUAUCAACCAGGCAAGGAUCCCUUGACCUCAGGGAUUAUCAUGGAUACAGUGGUGCAAGGGAAGCAGGAUCUAGUUCCACUUGUGCAAAAAUGUUUGCUGCUGGAACCACAGACCUAGGCCUGAACUGCCCUCUAUUACCACUCUGAUAUUCAUAGACGUACUAGCAUCAAAACCCCUCCAGGUGCACAAUGUGGGGUGUGAGAGAUCAGGAAUGCCAUUCCACAUGAGAUAAGGUCUGACUCCUUGCUGGCCAGGUGUUUUUGGUAGUCUAAUGCUUCAAGCUGUUGCUGUGUUGCAAUAAAUCAAAGACACAUCCAGUCUAUUCAUCACACUGAUCUGUACCUGUCACCAAAUUCUCCUCCUCUUCCUGAUGAAGGCAGGAGAGCAUUCAGGUGUCUUCUUGUUUGUUCUACUUUUAUCUUUCCUGACUCAUUUUAGACUGGUCACUGCUUACCUAUACUGAUAAGGAGAUGAGACAGGCUUGUCUUUUCUCUGAUGGCAGCAGACGGGGUAGAGGUGCACCUUAUAGGCUUCAGACUAAAAGGUCUAACUACCGCUCUCUUUUCCACUCGUUUCUCAUGGGAUAUAACGGCAACAACUAUAAUGAUCUAAUAUCACAAUGCUUCCUGCACUGUUUCAGGGUGUUGUAAAAAUUUGGAGACAGGAAGAGAAUC